ACGCUGGCGGCGCGCCUAACACAUGCAAGUCGAACGAGCGGAGAACUUCGGUUCAAAGCUAGUGGCGGACGGGUGAGUAACACGUGAGGAACCUGCCUCUCAGAGUGGGAUACCGUUUGGAAACGAACGUUAAUACCGCAUAAUGUAUCUUGAUCGCAUGGUCUUGAUACCAAAGAUUUAUCGCUGAAUGAUGGACUCGCGUCUGAUUAGAUAGUUGGUGAGGUAACGGCCCACCAAGUCGACGAUCAGUAGCCGGACUGAGAGGUUGAACGGCCACAUUGGGACUGAGACACGGCCCAGACUCCUACGGGAGGCAGCAGUGGGGGAUAUUGCACAAUGGAGGAAACUCUGAUGCAGUGACGCCGCGUAUAGGAAGAAGGCCCUCUGGGUUGUAAACUAUUGUCGAAGGGGAAGAAACAAGACAGUACCCUUGGAGGAAGCUCCGGCUAACUACGUG
Molecule: ribosomal RNA, 457 nt
Filed under: uncultured bacterium
Lineage: Bacteria
Description: bacterial SSU rRNA
Rfam family: Bacterial small subunit ribosomal RNA
Source: RNAcentral